This 110-nucleotide ribosomal RNA is filed under the name Streptomyces avidinii. RNAcentral's name for it is "partial 23S ribosomal RNA". It matches the Rfam family "Bacterial large subunit ribosomal RNA", at positions 2815 to 2925 of the family's 2925-position model. Lineage: Bacteria; Bacillati; Actinomycetota; Actinomycetes; Kitasatosporales; Streptomycetaceae. The record is from RNAcentral.
CCACCUUGAGUGGUUAAGGCUCCCAGUAGACGACUGGGUUGAUAGGCCAGAUGUGGAAGCCCGGUAACGGGUGGAGCUGACUGGUACUAAUAGGCCGAGGGCUUGUCCUC